UUCAGGAUGGGGACAACAGACGGAAACGACUGCUAAUACCGAAUAAGUUCCAAGAGCCGCAUGGCCCAUGGAAGAAAGGUGGCCUCUACCUGUAAGCUAUCGCCUGAAGAGGGGUUUGCGUCUGAUUAGCUGGUUGGAGGGGUAACGGCCCACCAAGGCGAUGAUCAGUAGCCGGUCUGAGAGGAUGAACGGCCACACUGGAACUGAGACACGGUCCAGACUCCUACGGGAGGCAGCAGUGGGGAAUCUUCCGCAAUGGGCGAAAGCCUGACGGAGCAACGCCGCGUGAGUGAUGACGGCCUUCGGGUUGUAAAACUCUGUGAUCCGGGACGAAAAGGCAGAGUGCGAAGAACAAACUGCAUUGACGGUACCGGAAAAGCAAGCCACGGCUAACUACGUGCCAGCAGCCGCGGUAAUACGUAGGUGGCAAGCGUUGUCCGGAAUUAUUGGGCGUAAAGCGCGCGCAGGCGGCUUCCCAAGUCCCUCUUAAAAGUGCGGGGCUUAACCCCGUGAUGGGAAGGAAACUGGGAAGCUGGAGUAUCGGAGAGGAAAGUGGAAUUCCUAGUGUAGCGGUGAAAUGCGUAGAGAUUAGGAAGAACACCGGUGGCGAAGGCGACUUUCUGGACGAAAACUGACGCUGAGGCGCGAAAGCGUGGGGAGCAAACAGGAUUAGAUACCCUGGUAGUCCACGCCGUAAACGAUGGAUACUAGGUGUAGGAGGUAUCGACCCCUCCUGUGCCGGAGUUAACGCAAUAAGUAUCCCGCCUGGGAA
Molecule: ribosomal RNA, 772 nt
Filed under: uncultured bacterium
Lineage: Bacteria
Description: bacterial SSU rRNA
Rfam family: Bacterial small subunit ribosomal RNA
Source: RNAcentral